UACGGAGGAUGCAAGCGUUAUCCGGAAUGAUUGGGCGUAAAGCGUCCGCAGGUGGCUAUGUAAGUCUGCUGUUAAAGAGUGAGGCUCAACCUCAUAAGAGCAGUGGAAACUACAUAGCUAGAGUGCGUUCGGGGCAGAGGGAAUUCCUGGUGUAGCGGUGAAAUGCGUAGAUAUCAGGAAGAACACCGGUGGCGAAAGCGCUCUGCUAGGCCGCAACUGACACUGAGGGACGAAAGCUAGGGGAGCGAACAGG
This 253-nucleotide ribosomal RNA is filed under the name uncultured bacterium. Its description in RNAcentral is "partial 16S ribosomal RNA". It matches the Rfam family "Bacterial small subunit ribosomal RNA", at positions 524 to 776 of the family's 1533-position model. The record is from RNAcentral.